Molecule: ribosomal RNA, 507 nt
Filed under: uncultured bacterium
Lineage: Bacteria
Description: partial 16S ribosomal RNA
Rfam family: Bacterial small subunit ribosomal RNA
Source: RNAcentral
GACGAACGCUGGCGGCGUGCUUAACACAUGCAAGUCGAACGGGCCUUGUCCCCUUUUUUUUUGGGGGUGGGGUUAGUGGCGAACGGGUGAGUAACACGUGAGUAACCUGCCCCUCACUUCUGGAUAACCGCUUGAAAGGGUGGCUAAUACGGGGUGUUCUGGCCUGCUCGCAUGGGUGGGUUUGGAAAGAUUCGACCGGUUUGGUUGUUUUGGGGGGGGAUGGGCUUGCGGCCUAUCAGCUUGUUGGUGGGGUGAUGGCCUGCCAAGGCUUUGACGGGUAGCCGGCCUGAGAGGGUGGGCGGUCACACUGGGACUGAGACACGGCCCAGACUCCUACGGGAGGCAGCAGUGGGGAAUAGUGCACAAUGGGCGCAAGCCUGAUGCAGCGACGCCGCGUGAGGGAUGGAGGCCUUCGGGUUGUGAACCUCUUUCGCCAGUGAAGAAGGUCCUGCUCUUUGUGGUGGGGUUGACGGUAGCUGGGUUAAUGAAGCGCCGGCUAACUACGUG